Molecule: transfer RNA, 20 nt
Filed under: Proctoporus cf. bolivianus Ca3
Lineage: Eukaryota; Metazoa; Chordata; Lepidosauria; Squamata; Gymnophthalmidae
Description: partial tRNA-Leu
Source: RNAcentral
CUUUUAAAGGAAACGAGCCC